Catharus ustulatus (Swainson's thrush) is the source of this 389-nucleotide long non-coding RNA. RefSeq lists it as uncharacterized. Lineage: Eukaryota; Metazoa; Chordata; Aves; Passeriformes; Turdidae. The record is from RefSeq and is a predicted model, not a curated record. The transcript is spliced from 4 exons.
CAUUCUUACAUGAAAAGCCCUGGCUGAUGAAAUGACCACAGGAAGACAACAUGGAACCCUCCCAGCACAAUCAGAAGAAGCUUAAUUAAGCUCUGUGGUUAAUUUUAAAGACUUUUUGUCAGAAGCGUGGCAAGGAACUUCAGUCUGGCUUUCAAAAGUGCUGAACACCCAGAACUCCUACCAAGGCCUCCUGAAAUUACAGCUUUGACCCCACAUUUCGGAGGCACAGUGGGAGCUCAAGUGGAACACAAGCUGUGAGACCCUGAGUGGGCUUUGCCCAGGGAAAGAGAGACACAGGUACCUCGGCAUAAGCUGCAUCCUUACAAGGGGAGUAACUGUGCCGGGAGAAUAUGUUCCAGUGCCUUUUAUUAAGGGGAUGGUAAACAGAA